GAGAAGACACGGAGAAGGUGAAGUGCAGAUGAAGGCAGAGAUUGGAGUGGAGCAGCCACAAGUGAAGAAAUGCCUACAGCCACCAUAAACUGGAAGAGGCAAGGAAGGAAUCGCCCCUGGAGCCUCCAAAGAGAGAAACCAGCCUCCACGUAAUAAAUACAAUUACCCUGAAACUGUCAUAUUGUGAGAAGACCAAGCCACAUAGAGAGAGAGAAAGGCCCAGGAGAAGCAAAGCACCAAGCAUGUGAGUAAGAAGCUAUCUUGGACAUCCAGCCUGGCAGAGCUACAGAUAACCACAGACCCAGAAGCCAUCUGACUAUAACUAUAAUACAAAAGAGACUACAUGUGAGAAUCACCAGUCUGACAUGUAAAAAGCUGAGAAGUCAUCACUUUCAUCCUCACAAUAAGAAAAAAACACUGAACAAACUGAAAAUCAGUAAUCCUUAGGUUCAUCAGAGAACUGAAGUCGAAGGAGAAACUGCUCUGAAAACUGGACAGGAAAAUACAGAAAAAGCACUGUGGGAGCCAGCAACUGGAAAGAUAUCAAUGGGAAA
Long non-coding RNA from Phyllostomus discolor (pale spear-nosed bat), 554 nucleotides. RefSeq lists it as uncharacterized. The record is from RefSeq and is a predicted model, not a curated record. The transcript has 3 exons. NCBI's taxonomy places the organism in Eukaryota, Metazoa, Chordata, Mammalia, Chiroptera, Phyllostomidae.